AACGCAUCUUGCGCCCGGUGGUAUUCCGCCGGGCAUGCCUGUCUGAGUGUCAUUACUAUCUCAACCCGAGCAAUGUCGUCAUGACAUUGCUCAGCGGAUUGGAACAUGGACUUGGUGGGGUUCGCCCUGCCGGUCUUAAAUGGAGUAGGCUAGCCGACUAUCAGCGGUUUGACCGGGUGUUGUAGAGUCGCCUCACUCGGGACGCUGAUCGGACUAGUUGAAUUGUAAUUGUAUUACUCGAGCGAUUUGGACCUCAGAUCAGGUAGGAUUACCCGCUGAACUUAA
This 285-nucleotide unclassified non-coding RNA is filed under the name Hydnum sp. Its description in RNAcentral is "partial contains 5.8S ribosomal RNA, internal transcribed spacer 2, and large subunit ribosomal RNA". The stretch from base 1 to 52 matches the Rfam family "5.8S ribosomal RNA", at positions 103 to 154 of the family's 154-position model. The record is from RNAcentral. Lineage: Eukaryota; Fungi; Basidiomycota; Agaricomycetes; Cantharellales; Hydnaceae.